RNAcentral lists this long non-coding RNA (257 nucleotides) under Elaeis guineensis (African oil palm). RNAcentral describes it as "long non-coding RNA (EGUI_LNC036929)". The record is from RNAcentral. Lineage: Eukaryota; Viridiplantae; Streptophyta; Magnoliopsida; Arecales; Arecaceae.
UGGUUUAAUUCUUGUUUAGCAUAUAAAAGUUUUGAAAGUAUAUUGGUAUUGUCAGUUACAUGCUGUACUAAGUAUUAAAGCUGAACUUUCCUGUUUCUCCAUUAUUAGAUAGAUUAUCCAUUCACUGGGAUUUAGGUCUCAUUCCCCCUCACUUUUUUUGUUACAGACUUGGAGCAUCAUAGCCAGAUAUAGAAGUAAAGCAUCAGCAUUUUCAUUAGCUUGCAUACUAGAAGAGGUUGGUCGUGACAGCUGGGGGG